UACGGAGGAUGCGAGCGUUAUCCGGAUUUAUUGGGUUUAAAGGGUGCGUAGGCGGGCUUUUAAGUCAGCGGUAAAAAUUCGGGGCUCAACCCCGUCCGGCCGUUGAAACUGGGGGUCUUGAGUGGGCGAGAAGAAGGCGGAAUGCGUGGUGUAGCGGUGAAAUGCAUAGAUAUCACGCAGAACCCCGAUUGCGAAGGCAGCCUUCCGGCGCCCUACUGACGCUGAGGCACGAAAGUGCGGGGAUCAAACAGG
RNAcentral lists this ribosomal RNA (252 nucleotides) under uncultured bacterium. RNAcentral describes it as "partial 16S ribosomal RNA". It matches the Rfam family "Bacterial small subunit ribosomal RNA", at positions 524 to 776 of the family's 1533-position model. The record is from RNAcentral.